This is a long non-coding RNA of Mastomys coucha (southern multimammate mouse), 595 nucleotides long. RefSeq lists it as uncharacterized. The transcript is spliced from 2 exons. Lineage: Eukaryota; Metazoa; Chordata; Mammalia; Rodentia; Muridae. The record is from RefSeq and is a predicted model, not a curated record.
GGAGCCAAGAUCAGGAUGGGGAAGAGCUUCUGCAGGACAUCUGGGAUGGCUGCCAGCAGAAGGGCUGAGGGUUCACUUUUGUGGGUGACUCCUACAGAUAUCAGGUGCCAGAAUUGGGAGCUGGCAUCAGCCCUACUAAAAUGAGGACAAAGAGAGAAGGGCAGGGCCAGAAUGGCCUGAGACGCUCAGGCCAGCCUCCGGCUCUCAGAUAGGGUGCUGAGGCCCAGAGAGAAUGCCCUGCUGAGGUCUCCUGAGAACAGCAUGCAAGGUUCUCCUUCUUGUUCCCACUGACCCAUCCAGAGGAUGAUAAAGAACUCCUUGGUGCCCACUGCACAGGUAUGUCUGAGCACCAGGAAGCUGCAGUACUAGAAGAAGCCAGAAGAUGGCAGCAGCUCCCCUGGAACUAGAGUUCUAAAUGGUUUUUGAGCCACCUUGUGGGUGCUGGAACCCCGGCUCCUCUGGAAGAACAAAUCCUCUUAACUGCAGAGCCUUCUCCUCAGGCCCAAACCCUUCCUUUAUCAAGCUGCCUUGGCCAGGUACUUUGUCACCGCAACAAGAAAAAUAACUCAAAUAAACUAAAAGUAACAGCAUGUAU